CUGUCACCGAUCUGAACCCUGUAGAUCCGAGUUUGAUUAAUGCCAAUGUUGAGUUUUGAAGCAUUUCAAUCAAAAUCGAAUCUUCAAGGUGAAGCUGGUGAUAG
Molecule: microRNA precursor, 104 nt
Filed under: Schmidtea mediterranea
Lineage: Eukaryota; Metazoa; Platyhelminthes; Tricladida; Dugesiidae
Description: microRNA sme-mir-10b precursor
Gene: sme-mir-10b
Source: miRBase by way of RNAcentral